CCUACGGGGGGCAGCAGUGGGGAAUAUUGGACAAUGGGCGAAAGCCUGAUCCAGCCAUGCCGCGUGUGUGAAGAAGGCCUUCGGGUUGUAAAGCACUUUCAGUGGGGAAGAAAGCCUUGGGGCUAAUACCCUCGAGGAAGGACAUCACCUACAGAAGAAGCACCGGCUAACUCCGUGCCAGCAGCCGCGGUAAUACGGAGGGUGCGAGCGUUAAUCGGAAUUACUGGGCGUAAAGCGCGCGUAGGCGGUCUGAUAAGCCGGUUGUGAAAGCCCCGGGCUCAACCUGGGAACGGCAUCCGGAAUUGGCAGGCUAGAGUGAAGGAGAGGAAGGGAGAAUUCCCGGUGUGGAGGUGAAAUGCGUAGAGAUCGGGAGGAAUACCAGUGGCGAAGGCGGCCUUCGGGACUGACACGGACGCUGAGGUGCAAAAGCGUGGGUAGCAAACAGGAUUAGAUACCCUGUAGUC
Molecule: ribosomal RNA, 464 nt
Filed under: Vreelandella stevensii
Lineage: Bacteria; Pseudomonadati; Pseudomonadota; Gammaproteobacteria; Oceanospirillales; Halomonadaceae
Description: partial 16S ribosomal RNA
Rfam family: Bacterial small subunit ribosomal RNA
Source: RNAcentral